UACGUAGGGUGCAAGCGUUAAUCGGAAUUACUGGGCGUAAAGCGUGCGCAGGCGGUUAUGUAAGACAGGGGUGAAAUCCCCGGGCUUAACCUGGGAAUGGCACUUGAAACUACGGGACUGGAGUAUGGCAGAGGGAGGUGGAAUUCCACGUGUAGCGGUGAAAUGCGUAGAGAUGUGGAGGAACACCGAUGGCGAAGGCAGCCUCCUGGGCCAAUACUGACGCUCAUGCACAAAAGCGUGGGGAGCAAACAGG
Molecule: ribosomal RNA, 253 nt
Filed under: uncultured bacterium
Lineage: Bacteria
Description: partial 16S ribosomal RNA
Rfam family: Bacterial small subunit ribosomal RNA
Source: RNAcentral